RNAcentral lists this transfer RNA (72 nucleotides) under Salvia splendens (bonfire salvia). Its description in RNAcentral is "tRNA-Tyr". It matches the Rfam family "tRNA". Rfam says of the family: Transfer RNA (tRNA) molecules are approximately 80 nucleotides in length. Their secondary structure includes four short double-helical elements and three loops (D, anti-codon, and T loops). The record is from RNAcentral. Lineage: Eukaryota; Viridiplantae; Streptophyta; Magnoliopsida; Lamiales; Lamiaceae.
CCGACCUUAGCUCAGUUGGUAGAGCGGAGGACUGUAGAUCCUUAGGUCACUGGUCGAAUCCGGUAGGUCGGA